RNAcentral lists this ribosomal RNA (406 nucleotides) under uncultured bacterium. RNAcentral describes it as "partial 16S ribosomal RNA". It matches the Rfam family "Bacterial small subunit ribosomal RNA", at positions 30 to 526 of the family's 1533-position model. The record is from RNAcentral.
AUUGAACGCUGGCGGCAGGCUUAACACAUGCAAGUCGAACGAGUGGCGGACGGGUGAGUAAUGUCUGGGAAACUGCCUGAUGGUGGGGGAUAACUACUGGAAACGGUAGCUAAUACCGCAUACCAUCGGAUGUGCCCAUAUGGGAUUAGCUAGUGGGUUGGGUAAAGGCUCACCUAGGCGACGAUCCCUAGCUGGUCUGAGAGGAUGACCAGGCACACUGGAACUGAGACACGGUCCAGACUCCUACGUGAGGCAGCAGUGGGGAAUUUUGCACAAUGGGCGCAAGCCUGAUUCAGCCAUGCCGCGUGUAUGAAGAAGGCCUUCGGGUUGUAAAGUACUUUCAUCGGGGAGGCGUUACCCGCAGAAGAAGCACCGGCUAACUUCGUGCCAGCAGCCGCGGUAAUUC